Molecule: ribosomal RNA, 1372 nt
Filed under: uncultured bacterium
Lineage: Bacteria
Description: bacterial SSU rRNA
Rfam family: Bacterial small subunit ribosomal RNA
Source: RNAcentral
GAUGAACGCUGGCGGCGUGCCUAAUACAUGCAAGUCGAGCGAACGGACGAGAAGCUUGCUUCUCUGAUGUUAGCGGCGGACGGGUGAGUAACACGUGGAUAACCUACCUAUAAGACUGGGAUAACUUCGGGAAACCGUAGCUAAUACCGGAUAAUAUUUUGAACCGCAUGGUUCAAAAGUGAAAGACGGUCUUGCUGUCACUUAUAGAUGGAUCCGCGCUGCAUUAGCUAGUUGGUAAGGUAACGGCUUACCAAGGCAACGACGCAUAGCCGACCUGAGAGGGUGAUCGGCCACACUGGAACUGAGACACGGUCCAGACUCCUACGGGAGGCAGCAGUAGGGAAUCUUCCGCAAUGGGCGAAAGCCUGACGGAGCAACGCCGCGUGAGUGAUGAAGGUCUUCGGAUCGUAAAACUCUGUUAUUAGGGAAGAACAUAUGUGUAAGUAACUGUGCACAUCUUGACGGUACCUAAUCAGAAAGCCACGGCUAACUACGUGCCAGCAGCCGCGGUAAUACGUAGGUGGCAAGCGUUAUCCGGAAUUAUUGGGCGUAAAGCGCGCGUAGGCGGUUUUUUAAGUCUGAUGUGAAAGCCCACGGCUCAACCGUGGAGGGUCAUUGGAAACUGGAAAACUUGAGUGCAGAAGAGGAAAGUGGAAUUCCAUGUGUAGCGGUGAAAUGCGCAGAGAUAUGGAGGAACACCAGUGGCGAAGGCGACUUUCUGGUCUGUAACUGACGCUGAUGUGCGAAAGCGUGGGGAUCAAACAGGAUUAGAUACCCUGGUAGUCCACGCCGUAAACGAUGAGUGCUAAGUGUUAGGGGGUUUCCGCCCCUUAGUGCUGCAGCUAACGCAUUAAGCACUCCGCCUGGGGAGUACGACCGCAAGGUUGAAACUCAAAGGAAUUGACGGGGACCCGCACAAGCGGUGGAGCAUGUGGUUUAAUUCGAAGCAACGCGAAGAACCUUACCAAAUCUUGACAUCCUUUGACAACUCUAGAGAUAGAGCCUUCCCCUUCGGGGGACAAAGUGACAGGUGGUGCAUGGUUGUCGUCAGCUCGUGUCGUGAGAUGUUGGGUUAAGUCCCGCAACGAGCGCAACCCUUAAGCUUAGUUGCCAUCAUUAAGUUGGGCACUCUAAGUUGACUGCCGGUGACAAACCGGAGGAAGGUGGGGAUGACGUCAAAUCAUCAUGCCCCUUAUGAUUUGGGCUACACACGUGCUACAAUGGACAAUACAAAGGGCAGCGAAACCGCGAGGUCAAGCAAAUCCCAUAAAGUUGUUCUCAGUUCGGAUUGUAGUCUGCAACUCGACUACAUGAAGCUGGAAUCGCUAGUAAUCGUAGAUCAGCAUGCUACGGUGAAUACGUUCCCGGGUCU